CCUACGGGUGGCAGCAGUGGGGAAUAUUGCGCAAUGGGCGAAAGCCUGACGCAGCGACGCCGCGUGAGGGAUGAAGGUCUUCGGAUCGUAAACCUCUGUCAGCAGGGAAGAACGGUCACUGUGCUAAACAGCAGUGAAUUGACGGUACCUGCAAAGGAAGCACCGGCUAACUCCGUGCCAGCAGCCGCGGUAAUACGGAGGGUGCAAGCGUUAAUCGGAAUUACUGGGCGUAAAGCGCUCGUAGGCGGUAUGUCAAGUCAAGGGUGAAAUCCCCGGGCUCAACGUGGGAACUGCCUCUGAAACUGGCAAGCUGGAGUGUGUGAGAGGAUGGUGGAAUUCCAGGUGUAGCGGUGAAAUCCGUAGAGAUCUGGAGGAACAUCAGUGGCGAAGGCGACUAUCUGGCACAUAACUGACGCUGAGGAGCGAAAGCGUGGGUAGCAAACAGGAUUAGAUACCCCAGUAGUC
Molecule: ribosomal RNA, 465 nt
Filed under: uncultured bacterium
Lineage: Bacteria
Description: partial 16S ribosomal RNA
Rfam family: Bacterial small subunit ribosomal RNA
Source: RNAcentral